UACGUAGGGGGCAAGCGUUGUCCGGAUUUAUUGGGCGUAAAGAGCUCGUAGGCGGUUUGUCGCGUCUGCUGUGAAAACUCGGGGCUUAACCCCGGGCCUGCAGUGGGUACGGGCAGACUAGAGUGCGGUAGGGGAGACUGGAAUUCCUGGUGUAGCGGUGAAAUGCGCAGGAUAUCAGGAGGAACACCGGUGGCGAAGGCGGCUUCCUGGACACCAACUGACGCUGAGACGCGAAAGCGUGGGGAGCAAACAGG
Molecule: ribosomal RNA, 254 nt
Filed under: uncultured bacterium
Lineage: Bacteria
Description: partial 16S ribosomal RNA
Rfam family: Bacterial small subunit ribosomal RNA
Source: RNAcentral